Molecule: ribosomal RNA, 497 nt
Filed under: uncultured bacterium
Lineage: Bacteria
Description: partial 16S ribosomal RNA
Rfam family: Bacterial small subunit ribosomal RNA
Source: RNAcentral
GACGAACGCUGGCGGCGUGCCUAAUACAUGCAAGUUGAGCGCUGAAGGUUGGUACUUGUACCAACUGGAUGAGCAGCGAACGGGUGAGUAACGCGUGGGGAAUCUGCCUUUGAGCGGGGGACAACAUUUGGAAACGAAUGCUAAUACCGCAUAAAAACUUUAAACACAAGUUUUAAGUUUGAAAGAUGCAAUUGCAUCACUCAAAGAUGAUCCCGCGUUGUAUUAGCUAGUUGGUGAGGUAAAGGCUCACCAAGGCGAUGAUACAUAGCCGACCUGAGAGGGUGAUCGGCCACAAUGGGACUGAGACACGGCCCAAACUCCUACGGGAGGCAGCAGUAGGGAAUCUUCGGCAAUGGACGAAAGUCUGACCGGGCAACGCCGCGUGAGUGAAGAAGGUUUUCGGAUCGUAAAACUCUGUUGGUAGAGAAGAACGUUGGUGAGAGUGGAAAGCUCAUCAAGUGACGGUAACUACCCAGAAAGGGACGGCUAACUACGUG